RNAcentral lists this ribosomal RNA (852 nucleotides) under uncultured bacterium. RNAcentral describes it as "bacterial SSU rRNA". It matches the Rfam family "Bacterial small subunit ribosomal RNA", at positions 26 to 870 of the family's 1533-position model. The record is from RNAcentral.
AGAGUGAACGCUGGCGGCGUGGAUUAGGCAUGCAAGUCGCGCGAUCUCGCAAGAGAUAGCGGCAAACGGGUGAGGAACACGUGAGCAACUUGCCCUUAAGACAGGGAUAGCUACGUGAAAACGUAGGUAAUACCUGAUACUGUCAUAGAAUCGCAUGGUUUUGUGACCAAAGGCGGGGACCGCAAGGCCUGCCACUUAAGGAUGGGCUCACGUCCUAUCAGCUAGUUGGUGAGGUAAUGGCUCACCAAGGCUUAUGACGGGUAGCUGGUCUAAGAGGAUGGUCAGCCACACUGGGACUGAGACACUGCCCAGACUCCUACGGGAGGCUGCAGCCGAGAAUAUUUAGCAAUGGGCGAAAGCCUGACUAUGCGACGCCGCGUGCGGGAUGAAGGUUUUCGGAUCGUAAACUGCUUUUUUCAGGAAAGAACAUCCAGACGUUAACAGCGUCUGGACUGACGGUACCUGAAGAAUAAGCCACGGCCAACUCCGUGCCAGCAGCCGCGGUAAUACGGGGGUGGCAAGCGUUACUCGGAAUCAUUGGGUGUAAAGGGCAAGUAGGCGGCAUAGUAAGUGGGGGGUGAAAUCUUCCGACUCAAUCGGGAAACUGCCUUUCAAACUGCUGUGCUUGAGGUAGGAAGAGGAAGACGGAAUUCUCGGUGUAAGGGUGAAAUCUGUAGAUAUCGAGAAGAACACCAGCGGCGAAGGCGGUCUUCUGGUCCUAUCCUGACGCUAAAUUGCGAAAGCUAGGGGAGCAAACAGAAUUAGAUACUCUGGUAGUCCUAGCCGUAAACGAUGAGCACUAGGUGUUGGGCCGUCAAGGUUCAGUGCCGCAGCUAACGCAUUAAGUGCUCC